GCUGUUUUUUUUACUUACAGAGGAGGUCCUCUGCCUCCCAGCUCUUAAUGCCAUCAUCAAUAGCAAUUUUAUCCCUAAAUAUACAAAUGGAACCAUUUGAUUGAUCUUCACUGCUAUCAGAAUACUUUUACCCCAAUGUCAAUUUUGACAAGACCAACCGGCUGGAAACAGAACGGCCACACUAGCAAAUUGAAAUAACAAUCCAAAAAAAAAAAAGGAGAUCACCUUUGCUUUGCUUCUGAUGACAGUUUGGUCAUUGCUUAUAACUAGAACUGCCAACCUUGUUUGAUAAUGAAGACUUGUCCUUCAAACUGCUACUUAAAAUGGU
This 328-nucleotide unclassified non-coding RNA is filed under the name Hevea brasiliensis (rubber tree). The record is from RNAcentral. Lineage: Eukaryota; Viridiplantae; Streptophyta; Magnoliopsida; Malpighiales; Euphorbiaceae.